CUUGCUUUCUCCGCCGGCGACCGGCGCACGGGUGAGUAACACGUAUGCAACCUGCCCCUGGUCAGGGGGACAACCCGCCGAAAGGCGGGCUAAACCCGCGUACAUGCCACCGGGGCAUCCCGGAGGCAGGAAAGGCUUCGGCCGGACAGGGAUGGGCAUGCGGCGCAUUAGGCAGUAGGCGGGGUAACGGCCCACCUAACCGACGAUGCGUAGGGGUUCUGAGAGGAAGGUCCCCCACACUGGUACUGAGACACGGACCAGACUCCUACGGGAGGCAGCAG
Molecule: ribosomal RNA, 281 nt
Filed under: uncultured bacterium
Lineage: Bacteria
Description: partial 16S ribosomal RNA
Rfam family: Bacterial small subunit ribosomal RNA
Source: RNAcentral